Molecule: long non-coding RNA, 2662 nt
Filed under: Nicotiana tabacum (common tobacco)
Lineage: Eukaryota; Viridiplantae; Streptophyta; Magnoliopsida; Solanales; Solanaceae
Description: long non-coding RNA (NTAB_LNC002740)
Source: RNAcentral
UUUAGGUAGACUUGAUGAGUGAUAAACUUGAAGACAUGCAAGUCUCACACUCUAUGCUUAUCUUUUAAUUAAUACAUUUAUGUUUAUGUCUUUAAUUCUUUUAUUGCUUUACUUAUGCUUUCAUUAGUGUUAAAUUAGUCUUAGUUGGUGAGCAAUUAGUAUUGAAUGCUUAAUUGCUUAAUUAUUUUAUCCGGAUUUUCAAGAGUUGUCAUUCUCUUGAGGGUUUUCAUAGUUUAGAGUUAUAUCUGAUUGAGUUCAUAGAGGUAAUUAAACUUCAUAUCCUAAUUGGUUGUUAUUUUUCUAAUCAAUCAAUUGUAUAUUCCUAGCUUAGGGUUAUAAUUGAUUGAGUAAUUAAAUUUCAUAUCAUAAUUGGUUCUUGUUCUUCCAAACAAUUCUAGGUGUAGCUGUUAUUUUUGAUUCGGCAUACUUUGCUAUAUCAUAAUUGGUUCUUGUUCUUCCAAACAAUUCUAGGUGUAGCUGUUAUUUUUGAUUCGGCAUACUUUGCUAUAUCCGUGUUUUCCUUUGUUGUUCGUAUCAUCUUGGUAUAAGCGGAGGUUGAGGAUUGUUGUAUCAAUCCUUGGCUGUUUGUUUUGAUUAUCAUCAAAUCAGAAAAUCAAAAAAAAAAAUCGAAAAAUUCCAAAAAUAGUAAGAUCUGUUCAUCAGUGUUCUAAAAUAGAAAUCGUAUUUGUUCUUCACUGUUUAAUCGUAUUUGUCUAUCUGUGCUUGAUAUUUUGAGUCCGAAAUUAUUGAAUCUACUGAAAUUGAUUAAUAUCAAUUGGAAAUUGUUGGAUUACUUGGGUUCUAGUUCGAAUUCCACCACUGAAUCUCCAUCGGCAGAGUUUCUCGGCUUAACUCAGAUUUAAAUUUCGUUGAGGAUUUGGGUUCAAAAUCGGUUGGAUUUUUGUGAUUCUUGUUGGAAACAUGAACACGAAGCUGAAUCUGAAGGGUCAGUCCGAUUAACACUGAAUUUCUAGGGUUUUGAUUGAAAUUUUCGAUUUCAAUUUCGGAGAGGACGACGAGCUGGAUUCUUCUGAAUUCGUGAUUGUUUCUAGAAAUCAAUCACUGGGGGUUUGAGUUUUAUACUGUUUGGAAGUAGAAUCCAAAGUUUGAGCUCGAUUUGGUGAAGGUUUGUUCGAUAAUCGGAUUUUCUGGUGUUGAGGCUCGAAGAACAUCGAAGAACAACUUCAGUUUCUGGGAUUGAGUAUGAAGCUGCGUAGCCUACGCAUCUACACUUAGCCAAUUCCAGAAGGCAUCAGGUUUGAUUCUUCUAAGUCGAAAGUUAGUUUUAUGUGCUGAAAAUUUUGAAGAAAGUUUGAGUUAUAGCUGAACUUCGACUCGAUCGUUCUGAGUUAGUUGAUUUGAAUGAAUUCGACUCGCGUUGCUUAGCUUGAUUUCUGAGUAUUGAGCUGAAAUUUGUUCUCAAUUUGUUGCUGCCGUUUGUGAAUCUCAGCCCUUGAUAGAGUUUCUUAGUUGCUAAACCAUCCUUGUAUCUGAUGAAUUCUGGUUUGAACUCCUUUGUGAUGCUAAAUUUCUGAUCAUUGAGCUGCAUUUCUGUGACUUGCUCUGCUGAAAUGUUUCCGGAAUUAUUAUAGUAUGAAGUUGAAGCUCGGUUUGUCUGAAAUUGAAAACUGGAACUUCUUCUUGUGCUUGCUGUUUGAGGGUUAACUUCAGCACUGGUGCAGCCUAAAACAAAAGCUGUCCAGUUUCUGCUGAAUUUAGUGCUCACGUGUUGCUGAAGUUUCUGAGUUUUGAGCAGUGUCUUUUUAUAGCAAGAGCUGCACAGUUGAGUAGAAAAAUACAGGUUUUAGCAGGGGUAAAUACCUACUGAAUCAGACUCGAUUUGGCAUUAGAUUUCUGAGAUUGUGAACUGCUGGGAACUGCAAAAUUCUACAGAAAAGAACUCAGCUGAACAGUACCUUUUGACAGCCAAAAUCUGCCCUGUUUCAGCACUAUUUGAGCAGGAAAAUCUGCGCAGCUUGGGGUGAAACUUUUGCACUGUUUCUGCCCUGUUGAACUGCUGAAAAUCUGCAGUAUUCGAAACAAUUUCUGCAUUGGUUAGGCUCCAGUUAAGCUGCAAAUUUGCAGCAACUUAUUCAGUUAAGUUCCAGAAGUUCUGCACUUUGGAACAACUUUCUGCACAGUCAAGAUCCUGCAGCAGCUGGGUGAAGUUUGAACUGUUUUGGACUGUGAAUUGAUUAAGGGAAUUCGAGUCAGCAGUUCUGAAAGUUUCUGCUCAACUCUGCUUUCUGCAUUACUUGACAGAAAAAUUGCUUCAGUUUGGUUUCUGCUGAUUGAAUAAGGUUUUGGUUGAGUUACACCUGGAAAAUUUGUUGAAGCUAAAGGUUCAGAAAGGAUCGGUUGUAUAUCCAGUUCAGGUUUCUGCACAGCUGGUUCACGCAGAAGAUUUCCAACAGCCUGCAGUUCUGCCAGUUACUGUGAACCUGCCCAGUUUUGCAAAAUAGCCUGUUUUGCGAAUAUGACCACAUUUUGACAAAGUGUUUAGUUUUGUAAUUUCAUUCCUUUUCUUUCUUUUCAAUUUGUAGUCACUAAAACUCUCAACUAGAAUUAACUUGAUAUUAGUUCAUAUUGAGUUUAUUUCUAGUUUCUUUGUGUGCCUUAAUUUUGUUUCGUGCCAAUUUUUUCGUACUUUUCUCUUUUAUUA